Non-coding RNA from Equus caballus (horse), 1981 nucleotides. The record is from RefSeq and is a predicted model, not a curated record. Lineage: Eukaryota; Metazoa; Chordata; Mammalia; Perissodactyla; Equidae.
CCAGUCCAAUAAGUUAUAAUUAGACAAAAUGGGUGUUCAGAAGUCUAGUAUUUCCCACCCAUACAGGAAGCAUGUGACAUGACACAGGCAAACUUGUCCUGUGUCUGCUAACUCUAUUUCCUUGUGGGGGUUGAAGCAUCACACAGCCCAGUAACUUUGCCUGUAACUCUUGAGCACAGGGCACAGAAAUGAAGAUCUGGAUUUUAGAUAGAACAGAAGACAUUUCACUCAAGGGAAGAGCUACCAAUACGCUGAUCACCAACACGCUGAGGGCAGUCACAGCCUCUUUCUGUCUCGGUGGAUGGCCACAAACACAGGACUCAAGCUCCUCUUAGUUCAGAAGGCGGUGGAAAGAUGCAGAUUAUUGUUAUCUGGAUCCAGCAGGACCCAGAAGGUAAAUCAAGCCCAGUCUACAAUUUCCGUGGUAGAGGAGGAGCCUGCAACCUUGGGCUAGCUUGGCAGAAUCAGCAAAUGUAGAAGAUGCCGGUUUGCCAAGCAUGAGGUCACACUGAACUCUGACCAGCUGGCUGGACCUCCAGAGGACGCAGCUGCUCCUGCGAAGUCCUAAGGCAGGUUGAGAGACAGACUUUCUAGUCACGGGGACUCCAAACAUCCUUGUAAAAUGAAGACCAUUCUCCUGGCCCUAGAGAAACUAAGAAUGUUGUAACUGAGUGAGGUUCUUUCAAAGUCAGAGAGUUCCGUCUACAGCAGGGUUGCAAAUGCACAGACUCAUAGGUGCCAAAAACAGAAUGAAAAUGAGUGUCGUUGUCCAAGUCUUUAAAAAAAGGUAGAAGCCAUCGCUCACACUGGGCCCAGUAUCAGAGGGAUGAAAGAAAGCGAUGCUAUAAAAUCCAGGCGUCUCCCAAGUAGAGGGGGAGUCCUGAAAGGUUAUCCAAAGAUUGAAGUUUGUCCCUGAGUCCCGCCCAAGUCAGGCUGCGAGCUUAUUGAAUAUGGACAGGCUGACGCACAGAUGCUAUAAUAUAGGGAGCCUCUGCCUGGGGGGCUGGAAAUGUGAAGCUGUCACAGCCGACAGGACAGCUGAGGCCUGUCCCAGCCCCUGAAUAAAGUGAUGAUUGCGGCCAUGAGGCUCCAGCCCCUGCUGCUUCUCAAUCCUUCUCCCUCUUCAGAUAUUCCCUGAAAUUAGUCACCCUCAUACCCCACACUGCAGAGCCUCUGAUCUUGCACACGAAAUCUCUACUGCAAAGUUGUUCCAGGAUCCCCCGAGCUAGAGUUUGACUUAAGUCAAAUAAAGUUAAGUAGCAGAAUUUAAAAACAAAUAUAAAAAGUUACUGCUCACUCAAUGAGCUGUGCAGGUUCCUGAAUCACUUAGAUUACAUGACUUCUAUUCUGGACUGAAUCCCUGAUUUUUUUUUGAAGAAGAAAUGAAAAUAGAUAUUAGGUCCAUGUUCCAUGCAAUACAAAUAAGCUGUGAAAUCACCCCGUCUCCUCCUUCACUUGACUACAUGUAGCUGUUGCCUUCUCUGGCUCCUGGUGCCACCUCUCUGUUACCCACAUCCUCUGCUGAGUUUGCCCUCACUCUCGUCUCCUUCUAGACAGUGGGAUACAGGCUCAACAGCUUAGUGCCCCCCACAAUGUCAUCUUUAAAAACCUUUCCACUGGAUUUCAUAACUCAAGUUUCCUUACCUUUGAGAAGAAUAAAAUUGCUCAUCAGAGUCAGAUGUCCUUUGGAGGGAACAGUAUGAUGCUAAAUGUGGACUCUCCUCGGAAGUAGGUGGAAUCCCUAUGCUUCACACCGUCACUGAUCCAUAAUCUCCAGUCUUCUUCAGCAUUUCCAGAGAGAAACAAGAUUAUCUGAACUUGAAAUAGUAACUCAAUCAAGUAAGCUUCCUGAAGAAGUGAAAAUCAUCUUUGUUUCUUGUUUGCUCGAUUUAAAAAGAUACCACCUCUUGGGGCCGGCCCCAUGGCCGAGUGGUUAAGUUUGCGUGCUCUGCUUUGGCGGUCCAGGGUUUUGCCAGUGCAA